Pantherophis guttatus is the source of this 496-nucleotide non-coding RNA. The record is from RefSeq and is a predicted model, not a curated record. Lineage: Eukaryota; Metazoa; Chordata; Lepidosauria; Squamata; Colubridae.
AGCCCAAUCCAGCCAAUUUUUUCUAAUGAAAGUGAAUCGAAAUGUAGAUGCUUGCUCUCUGUUCUAACUACAGGCUGAUUGUUAGUCCAAAGUCUUGGCAGGCCUUGCUAAAACUGUCCAUAAGUUGUUGAAGGUCUUCAGCAGAGUGAGCAGUGACGGCAGCAUCAUCAGCGAAGAGGAAAUCCCGUAAACCUUUCAGCUAGACUUCAGACUUUGCUCUCAAUCUAGAGAAAUUAAAGAGUUUUCCGUCUGAUCUGGUCCGGAGGAAGUUGGCUGUGAGACCAUGAGAGAAAGGCCGGAAUUUUAACAGAAUAACAGAGGUGGAAGAGACCUUGGAGGUUUUCUAGUCUAACUCCCUGCUCAAGCAGGAAACCCUGUACUAUUUCCAACAAAUGGCUGUCCAAUCUCUUAAAAACCUCCAGUGUUGGAGCAUCUACAACUUCUGAAAGUAAGUCGUUUAAUGAUUGAUUGUUCUGUCAGGAAAUUUCUCCUUAGU